UUUACUAAGUGGUAGGAGAGCGUUCUAUUUGCGUCGAAGGUAUACCGGUAAGGAGUGCUGGAGCGAAUAGAAGUGAGCAUGCAGGCAUGAGUAGCGAUAAUUAAUGUGAGAAUCAUUAACGCCGUAAACCCAAGGUUUCCUACGCGAUGCUCGUCAUCGUAGGGUUAGUCGGGUCCUAAGUCGAGUCCGAAAGGGGUAGACGAUGGCAAAUUGGUUAAUAUUCCAAUACCAACAUUAGUGUGCGAUGGAAGGACGCUUAGGGCUAAGGGGGCUAGCGGAUGGAAGUGCUAGUCUAAGGUCGUAGGAGGUUAUACAGGCAAAUCCGUAUAACAAUACUCCGAGAACUGAAAGGCUUUUUGAAGUCUUCGGAUGGAUAGAAGAACCCCUGAUGCCGUCGAGCCAAGAAAAGUUUCUAAGUUUAGCUAAUGUUGCCCGUACCGUAAACCGACACAGGUGGGUGGGAUGAGUAUUCUAAGGCGCGUGGAAGAACUCUCUUUAAGGAACUCUGCAAAAUAGCACCGUAUCUUCGGUAUAAGGUGUGGUUAGCUUUGUAUUAGGAUUUACUCCGAAAGCAAGGAAACUUACAACAAAGAGUCCCUCCCGACUGUUUACCAAAAACACAGCACUCUGCUAACUCGUAAGAGGAUGUAUAGGGUGUGACGCCUGCCCGGUGCUCGAAGGUUAAUUGAUGGGGUUAGCAUUAGCGAAGCUCUUGAUCGAAGCCCGAGUAAACGGCGGCCGUAACUAUAACGGUCCUAAGGUAGCGAAAUUCCUUGUCGGUUAAAUACCGACCUGCAUGAAUGGCGUAACGAGAUGGGAGCUGUCUCAAAGAGGGAUCCAGUGAAAUUGUAGUGGAGGUGAAAAUUCCUCCUACCCGCGGCAAGACGGAAAGACCCCGUGGACCUUUACUACAGCUUGACACUGCUACUUGGAUAAGAAUGUGCAGGAUAGGUGGGAGGCUUUGAGUAUAUGACGCCAGUUGUAUAUGAGCCAUUGUUGAGAUACCACUCUUUCUUAUUUGGGUAGCUAACCAGCUUGAGUUAUCCUCAAGUGGGACAAUGUCUGGUGGGUAGUUUGACUGGGGCGGUCGCCUCCCAAAUAAUAACGGAGGCUUACAAAGGUUGGCUCAGAACGGUUGGAAAUCGUUCGUAGAGUAUAAAGGUAUAAGCCAGCUUAACUGCAAGACAUACAAGUCAAGCAGAGACGAAAGUCGGUCUUAGUGAUCCGGUGGUUCUGUGUGGAAGGGCCAUCGCUCAAAGGAUAAAAGGUACCCCGGGGAUAACAGGCUGAUCUCCCCCAAGAGCUCACAUCGACGGGGAGGUUUGGCACCUCGAUGUCGGCUCAUCGCAUCCUGGGGCUGGAGCAGGUCCCAAGGGUAUGGCUGUUCGCCAUUUAAAGCGGUACGCGAGCUGGGUUCAGAACGUCGUGAGACAGUUCGGUCCCUAUCUGCCGUGGGCGUAAGAAGAUUGAAGAGAUUUGACCCUAGUACGAGAGGACCGGGUUGAACAAACCACUGGUGUAGCUGUUGUUCUGCCAAGAGCAUCGCAGCGUAGCUAAGUUUGGAAAGGAUAAACGCUGAAAGCAUCUAAGCGUGAAGCCAACUCUAAGAUGAAUCUUCUCUAAGCUCUCUAGAAGACUACUAGUUUGAUAGGCUGGGUGUGUAAUGGAUGAAAGUCCUUUAGCUGACCAGUACUAAUAGA
Molecule: ribosomal RNA, 1700 nt
Filed under: Campylobacter jejuni
Lineage: Bacteria; Pseudomonadati; Campylobacterota; Epsilonproteobacteria; Campylobacterales; Campylobacteraceae
Description: bacterial LSU rRNA
Rfam family: Bacterial large subunit ribosomal RNA
Source: RNAcentral